GUACACUCCUGCGGGAGGCAGCAGUAGGGAAUCUUCGGCAAUGGGGGCAACCCUGACCGAGCAACGCCGCGUGAGUGAAGAAGGUUUUCGGAUCGUAAAGCUCUGUUGUAAGUCAAGAACGAGUGUGAGAGUGGAAAGUUCACACUGUGACGGUAGCUUACCAGAAAGGGACGGCUAACUACGUGCCAGCAGCCGCGGUAAUACGUAGGUCCCGAGCGUUGUCCGGAUUUAUUGGGCGUAAAGCGAGCGCAGGCGGUUUGAUAAGUCUGAAGUUAAAGGCUGUGGCUCAACCAUAGUUCGCUUUGGAAACUGUCAAACUUGAGUGCAGAAGGGGAGAGUUGAAUUCCAUGUGUAGCGGUGAAAUGCGUAGAUAUAUGGAGGAACACCGGUGGCGAAAGCGGCUCUCUGGUCUGUAACUGACGCUGAGGCUCGAAAGCGUGGGGAGCGAACAGGAUUAGAAACCCCAGUAGUCCCAUGA
Molecule: ribosomal RNA, 478 nt
Filed under: uncultured organism
Description: partial 16S ribosomal RNA
Rfam family: Bacterial small subunit ribosomal RNA
Source: RNAcentral